RNAcentral lists this ribosomal RNA (471 nucleotides) under uncultured soil bacterium. RNAcentral describes it as "bacterial SSU rRNA". It matches the Rfam family "Bacterial small subunit ribosomal RNA", at positions 26 to 517 of the family's 1533-position model. The record is from RNAcentral.
AGAAUGAACGUUGGCGGCGUGGAUUAGGCAUGCAAGUCGUGCGCGAUAUGUAGCAAUACAUGGAGAGCGGCGAAAGGGAGAGUAUAACGUAGGUAUCUACCCUCGGGUCUGGGAUAGCGGCGGGAAACUGCCGGUAAUACCAGAUGAUGUCCCCGGACCAAAGGUGUGAUUCCGCUCGAGGAGGAGCCUACGCCCUAUUAGCUAGUUGGCAGGGUAACGCCUACCAAGGCAAAGAUGGGUAUGGGGUGUGAGAGCAUCGCCCCCACUCACUGGGACUGAGACACUGCCCAGACACCUACGGGUGGCUGCAGUCGAGAAUCUUCGGCAAUGGGCGCAAGCCUGACCGAGCGACGCCGCGUGCGGAUGAAGGCUUUCGGGUUGUAACCGCUGUCGUAGAGGAGGAAUGUCGGUGGUACUCCAUCGGCUUGACUGAUUCAGGAGGAAGGACGGCUAAGUUCGCGCCAGCAGCCG